GACGGGGCCGCACAAGCGGUGGAGCAUGUGGUUAAUUCGAAGCAACGCGAAGAACCUUACCAGGUCUGACAUCCCCUGACAACCCAAGAGAGUUCGGGCGUUCCCCUUCGGGGGACAGGGUGACAGGUGGUGGCAUGGUUGUCGUCAGCUCGUGUCGUGAGAUGUUGGGUUAAGUCCCGCAACGAGCGCAACCCUCGACCUUAGUUGCCAGCAUUCAGUUGGGCACUCUAAGGUGACUGCCGGCUAAAAGUCGGAGGAAGGUGGGGAUGACGUCAAAUCAUCAUGCCCCUUAUGACCUGGGCUACACACGUGCUACAAUGGGCGGUACAAAGGGUCGCGAACCCGCGAGGGGGAGCCAAUCCCAAAAAGCCGCUCUCAGUUCGGAUUGCAGGCUGCAACUCGCCUGCAUGAAGCCGGAAUCGCUAGUAAUCGCGGAUCAGCAUGCCGCGGUGAAUACGUUCCCGGGCCUU
This 470-nucleotide ribosomal RNA is filed under the name uncultured Anoxybacillus sp. RNAcentral's name for it is "bacterial SSU rRNA". It matches the Rfam family "Bacterial small subunit ribosomal RNA", at positions 917 to 1381 of the family's 1533-position model. The record is from RNAcentral. Lineage: Bacteria; Bacillati; Bacillota; Bacilli; Caryophanales; Anoxybacillaceae.